This 429-nucleotide ribosomal RNA is filed under the name Bacteroidota bacterium. RNAcentral describes it as "Bacteroidetes bacterium partial 16S ribosomal RNA". It matches the Rfam family "Bacterial small subunit ribosomal RNA", at positions 355 to 776 of the family's 1533-position model. Lineage: Bacteria; Pseudomonadati; Bacteroidota. The record is from RNAcentral.
UAGGGAAUCUUCCGCAAUGGACGCAAGUCUGACGGAGCAACGCCGUGUGAGUGAAGAAGGAUUUCGGUUCGUAAAACUCUGUUGUUAGAGAAGAACAGCGCAUAGAGUAACUGUUAUGCGUGUGACGGUAUCUAACCAGAAAGCCACGGCUAACUACGUGCCAGCAGCCGCGGUAAUACGUAGGUGGCAAGCGUUGUCCGGAUUUAUUGGGCGUAAAGCGAGCGCAGGCGGUCAAUUAAGUCUGAUGUGAAAGCCCCCGGCUCAACCGGGGAGGGUCAUUGGAAACUGGUUGACUUGAGUGCAGAAGAGGAGAGUGGAAUUCCAUGUGUAGCGGUGAAAUGCGUAGAUAUAUGGAGGAACACCAGUGGCGAAGGCGACUCUCUGGUCUGUAACUGACGCUGAGGUUCGAAAGCGUGGGUAGCAAACAGG